RNAcentral lists this unclassified non-coding RNA (327 nucleotides) under soil metagenome. RNAcentral's name for it is "partial contains 5.8S ribosomal RNA, internal transcribed spacer 2, and large subunit ribosomal RNA". The stretch from base 1 to 120 matches the Rfam family "5.8S ribosomal RNA", at positions 35 to 154 of the family's 154-position model. The record is from RNAcentral.
GAUGAAGAACGUAGCGAAAUGCGAUAAGUAAUGUGAAUUGCAGAAUUCAGUGAAUCAUCGAAUCUUUGAACGCACAUUGCGCCCCCUGGUAUUCCGGGGGGCAUGCCUGUCCGAGCGUCAUUACAACCCUCAAGCUCAGCUUGGUGUUGGGCCCCGCCGCCCCGGCGGGCCCUAAAGUCAGUGGCGGUGCCGUCCGGCUCCGAGCGUAGUAAUUCUUCUCGCUCUGGAGGUCCGGUCGUGUGCUCGCCAGCAACCCCCAAUUUUUUUCAGGUUGACCUCGGAUCAGGUAGGGAUACCCGCUGAACUUAAGCAUAUCAAUAAGGAGGA